Molecule: long non-coding RNA, 350 nt
Filed under: Pan troglodytes (chimpanzee)
Lineage: Eukaryota; Metazoa; Chordata; Mammalia; Primates; Hominidae
Description: long non-coding RNA NONPTRT015867
Source: RNAcentral
UGCCCAUGACAGGCUUGUGCAGAAUGAACAGAGAACAUUCAUUACGUUUAGAACAGAAGAUAUCCUCAUACUUAAUACAAAAAUAAUGUAGAAGAUAUUAUAAAAGGUAAAGAUAAAUUACCAUCGUAGUUCCUACAAGACAGACUUUCAGACAGAUGAACACAGCAUAAAGACUUUCAGAAGUUCUACACUGCUUUAACUGCAGAGAGCGUCAAAGAAAAGAGCAUCCACAAUGGAAGAGGAAGAAGAAGAGGUGAAGUUAGGGGUGACCAAUGAAAAUUCCAUCUAAGUGACUUGGGGCAACACUAUCAUGUACAGUGUUAAUAUACAUUAACACUCAAGGAAGAAUA